Molecule: ribosomal RNA, 500 nt
Filed under: uncultured bacterium
Lineage: Bacteria
Description: partial 16S ribosomal RNA
Rfam family: Bacterial small subunit ribosomal RNA
Source: RNAcentral
AUUGAACGCUGGCGGCAUGCCUUACACAUGCAAGUCGAACGGUAACAGGUCUUUCGGGAUGCUGACGAGUGGCGAACGGGUGAGUAAUACAUCGGAACGUGCCUAGUAGUGGGGGAUAACUACUCGAAAGAGUGGCUAAUACCGCGUGAGAUCUACGGAUGAAAGCAGGGGACCUUCGGGCCUUGUGCUACUAGAGCGGCCGAUGGCAGAUUAGGUAGUUGGUGGGAUAAAAGCUUACCAAGCCUACGAUCUGUAGCUGGUUUGAGAGGACGAACAGACACACUGGGACGGAGACACGGCCCAGACUCCUACGGGAGGCAGCAGUGGGGAAUUUUGGACGAUGGGCGCAAGCCUGAUCCAGCAAUGCCGCGUGCAGGAUGAAGGCCUUCGGGUUGUAAACUGCUUUUGUACGGAACGAAAAGUCUUGGGUUAAUACCCUGGGAUCAUGACGGUACCGUAAGAAUAAGCACCGGCUAACUACGUGCCAGCCGCCGCCGUAA